RNAcentral lists this ribosomal RNA (641 nucleotides) under uncultured archaeon. Its description in RNAcentral is "bacterial SSU rRNA". It matches the Rfam family "Archaeal small subunit ribosomal RNA", at positions 82 to 725 of the family's 1478-position model. The record is from RNAcentral.
CGGACGGCUCAGUAACACGUAGUCAACCUAACUCGUGGACGUGGAUAACCUCGGGAAACUGAGAAUAAACCACGAUAGAUCAUAGUGCCUGGAAUGGCUUAUGGUCCAAACAGUUUACUGCCAUGGGAUGGGACUGCGGCCUAUCAGCUUGUUGGUGAGGUAAUGGCCCACCAAGGCGAUUACAGGUACGGGCUCUGAGAGGAGAAGCCCGGAGAUGGGUACUGAGACACGGACCCAGGCCCUAUGGGGCGCAGCAGGCGAGAAACCUUAGCAAUGUGCGAAAGCACGACUGGGUCAGUCCGAGUGAUUCCUGAUAAAGGAGUCUUUUGCUUGUCCUAAAAGCACAGGUGAAUAAGGGGUGGGCAAGUCUGGUGUCAGCCGCCGCGGUAAUACCAGCACCUCGAGUGGUCAGGACGUUUAUUGGGCCUAAAGCAUCCGUAGCCGGCUUUGCAAGUCUUCGGUUAAAUCCACCUGCUCAACAGAUGGGCCGCUGGAGAUACUACAAAGCUAGGGAGUGGGAGAGGCAGACGGUAUUCAGUGGGUAGGGGUAAAAUCCUCUGAUCCAUUGAGGACCACCAGUGGCGAAGGCGGUCUGCCAGAACACGUUCGACGGUGAAGGAUGAAAGCUGGGGGAGCAAACC